This 203-nucleotide ribosomal RNA is filed under the name uncultured bacterium. RNAcentral describes it as "partial 16S ribosomal RNA". It matches the Rfam family "Bacterial small subunit ribosomal RNA", at positions 1299 to 1500 of the family's 1533-position model. The record is from RNAcentral.
CGCAGGCUGCAACCCGCCUGCGUGAAGUUGGAAUCGCUAGUAAUCGCGGAUCAGCAUGCCGCGGUGAAUACGUUCCCGGGCCUUGUACACACCGCCCGUCACACCAUGAGAGUCGGGAACACCCGAAGUCCGUAGCCUAACCGGUAAGGGGGGCGCGGCCGAAGGUGGGUUCGAUAAUUGGGGUGAAGUCGUAACAAGGUAAC